Long non-coding RNA from Betta splendens (Siamese fighting fish), 1467 nucleotides. RefSeq lists it as uncharacterized. The record is from RefSeq and is a predicted model, not a curated record. The transcript is spliced from 2 exons. Lineage: Eukaryota; Metazoa; Chordata; Actinopteri; Anabantiformes; Osphronemidae.
CUGAAGCCGCCGUGGAACGGAGCAAUUAAACGGAGGCCCGCCGCUUCCUGUCGCGCGAAGGCGGCGGCCACGUCCUGAUUUGGUUCCGCGCGCUGAAGACUAACUGCUACAGGGCAUGAAAUGAAGAGACAGAUGAUAAGCUCCGCUCUCUCACGCUCCGGGGAGCACAGUCAGCCAUGAUGGAAUGAAUCGUGACGGGCGGGAAUCUCCAAGUCAGAUAAGUAUUUAUAGACACCAAGAGCACAGGACGCAUCCGCAAACACAAUGCGGACGUUGUGUGAUCUCCACUUGGAAACCGGCACCGCAUUGAUGGCAUCCUGCGUUUAGGAAGCCUGCUUAUGCAUGUAUGAGAUUGGAUGCAGCAGUCUGGAUGUUUGCCUGUUGUCAUAUGGCCACUGCCGCUGGAUUAAGGGUGAUGCAAACGUGGAGUGACGGGUUUUACAUGAAAUUAUACAGCAGCACAGAGAAGCAGCAGCAGCAACAGCACGAGAACAAGCAGCGCAGACGUCUCAGACGCACUCGGGGGCGCCGCAUCCGACGCCCGGUUUCCUCUACGCUGAUAAAGUGCCAGGUUUCAGGAAUUACCUGGCAAAACCGCAAUCAGGCCCGGAAGAGGAGCGGGAAUGUUCUCCCCCUCGGCUCCGGAGGGCGGUUUAGGGAAAGACCAGCGAGUGCAUGUCAGCGCUCAACUUUAAUUUAUGUAUAUUUCUUUUGGUGGGAGCUCACAACAGCAUGACAUGCAGGCUGAGCGCUUAGUCAGCCAUGUUAUUGGAUUUCCCUGCUUUUUCUUCCCCUCGCUGGGAAUGACGGCGCGCACGCGGGCUUCCGGGCAGGCGACAUGUCUGUCUAACAGCAGAUGCUUAUUCUCAGCAGUAGCGCCUUCAUCGGAGCUCCAGCUCAAACGCGGCAUCAGACGACGCAGAGGUGCUCUGUGGCCUGAUGGACGGUGUUCGCAGCAGGACGGGCCGCGCGAGGACGGAGCCACUUAUCAUUCUGAGUGAUCAUCCACGGGUGACCCGGCGACAGAGAUGUCGCCUGGCGGUGCCGCCUGACAGCUGGCGGCUCAGGUGAACCAGCGGAACCAGAGGAUGAGAGCAGAUUUAGAGGCAGAGUCCUCCACAGCUCCGGUCAAACCAUUGCUCAUGCUGUGGAAUUCCUGCAGCACGGUAGCGAAGGGUCCUGCAGCUCUGGGCCUUUGGACCAUGUGGCUUCUGGAGCACACGCACUGUCAUCACUUAGCAGGAAGUCAUUUAGUGCUUUUGCAAGUGCAGUUUCAGUGGAGUGACAAAAACACAGUGGAUACUGUUGGUCCAUGAUUAUGGACACAGCAGCAGCUGUGGACAAUGCACGCUGGAAGUGAUGUGCUCCAAAAACAUCCACAGCAAAACCAAGACUACGCAGAAAGAGCUGAAAGGAGGUGAAUGAAUGAAUUCAUUACCAAACUCCUAAUAAACAAGUUUUAACAAA